This 78-nucleotide transfer RNA is filed under the name Methanopyrus kandleri. RNAcentral describes it as "tRNA-Trp". It matches the Rfam family "tRNA". From Rfam's summary of the family: Transfer RNA (tRNA) molecules are approximately 80 nucleotides in length. Their secondary structure includes four short double-helical elements and three loops (D, anti-codon, and T loops). Lineage: Archaea; Methanobacteriati; Methanobacteriota; Methanopyri; Methanopyrales; Methanopyraceae. RNAcentral also lists the same sequence under 2 other names. The record is from RNAcentral.
GGGCCCGCGGUGUAGCCAGGUCUAUCAUGCGGGGCUCCAGACCCCGUGACCCGGGUUCAAAUCCCGGCGGGCCCACCA